This is a long non-coding RNA of Athalia rosae (coleseed sawfly), 564 nucleotides long. RefSeq lists it as uncharacterized. The record is from RefSeq and is a predicted model, not a curated record. NCBI's taxonomy places the organism in Eukaryota, Metazoa, Arthropoda, Insecta, Hymenoptera, Athaliidae. The transcript has 3 exons.
CGGGGACGCGCACAACCGACUCCCGUCGAAACUACACCCACGACCAUUGUUUCCGAUGUACCCCGACGACCGCGGACCAUCAAAGGACCUCCGCUGUCGGCCUGCGAAUCAAAAAAAAAACCCAAAGGAAUAAAUAAAGAUUGGAUACGGAGGGGGGGGAAAAAAAAGAAAAAAAUAAUGAAGAAAAAAAGGGAUUCGCUUACCCAGCAGGAAUCUCGACCGCCCUCCUCGUGGCCCGCACACAUCUGCUGAGGUUCGACUCGCGUUUUUUUACCUUGACUAGCGUACCACUGCCGACAUAAGUUAUUUUCCACCACACGUACACCGACCUUCUGAAGGAUGUCUGCCCUCUUGUCUGCAAGAUAUUUAUCCACCCCCAGCCCGCGGCGAUUGCGUUCUCUCCCUCGAAAUCGCUGUAGCCGGCGGCACCGUUCGACGACGGAAGGCAGGCCGGUCUGACGCUCUCCGACCAAGAAAUCGGUCUGUCUAAUUCCAGCAAAGCUAUGUCGUCUAUGUAACCACCGCAUUUGUGUCCAGGGUGAAUGAAAACUCUUCUGAUACUCU